Molecule: ribosomal RNA, 497 nt
Filed under: uncultured bacterium
Lineage: Bacteria
Description: partial 16S ribosomal RNA
Rfam family: Bacterial small subunit ribosomal RNA
Source: RNAcentral
GACGAACGCUGGCGGCGUGCCUAAUACAUGCAAGUUGAGCGCUGAAGGUUGGUACUUGUACCAACUGGAUGAGCAGCGAACGGGUGAGUAACGCGUGGGGAAUCUGCCUUUGAGCGGGGGACAACAUUUGGAAACGAAUGCUAAUACCGCAUAAAAACUUUAAACACAAGUUUUAAGUUUGAAAGAUGCAAUUGCAUCACUCAAAGAUGAUCUCGCGUUGUAUUAGCUAGUUGGUGAGGUAAAGGCUCACCAAGGCGAUGAUACAUAGCCGACCUGAGAGGGUGAUCGGCCACAUUGGGACUGAGACACGGCCCAAACUCCUACGGGAGGCAGCAGUAGGGAAUCUUCGGCAAUGGACGAAAGUCUGACCAAGCAACGCCGCGUGAGUGAAGAAGGUUUUCGGAUCGUAAAACUCUGUUGGUAGAGAAGAACGUUGGUGAGAGUGGAAAGCUCAUCAAGUGACGGUAACUACGCAGAAAGGGACGGCUAACUACGUG